GGAGUUAGCCGGUGCUUCUUCUGCGAGUAACGUCACAGAUGUAAGGUAUUAACUUACACCCUUUCCUCCUCGCUGAAAGUGCUUUACAACCCGAAGGCCUUCUUCACACACGCGGCAUGGCUGCAUCAGGGUUUUCCCCCAUUGUGCAAUAUUCCCCACUGCUGCCUCCCGUAGGAGUCUGGGCCGUGUCUCAGUCCCAGUGUGGCUGAUCAUCCUCUCAGACCAGCUAGGGAUCGUCGCCUAGGUGAGCCUUUACCUCACCUACUAGCUAAUCCCACCUGGGCUUAUCCAUCAGCGCAAGGCCCGAAGGUCCCCUGCUUUCCCCCGGUAGGGCGUAUGCGGUAUUAGCAGUCGUUUCCAACUGUUAUCCCCCACAAAUGGGCAAAUUCCCAGGCAUUACUCACCCGUCCGCCGCUCGUCAUCUUCAAAAGCAAGCUUUUGAAAUGUUACCGCUCGACUUGCAUGUGUUAGGCCUGCCGCCAGCGUUCAAUCUGAGCCAUAAUCAAACUCUGA
RNAcentral lists this ribosomal RNA (513 nucleotides) under uncultured bacterium. Its description in RNAcentral is "partial 16S ribosomal RNA". The record is from RNAcentral.